CAUUUUUAGUUUGCGUUGGUUGAUUAAAGGCAGGUUACUCUAUUAUAUGUUACAUGAUGCUCAUUAUUGGCGUUUUCAUGUCUAUUUAAGACUUCACAUGAAUAGUAGAUGGACUUGGGUAAGGCAUAUCCCUCAUAGAGCAGUGGCCAGAGUACAGGGUAUAAGCAGAGCGACAGAGUAGCGAACAACAACGACAAAG
This 199-nucleotide small RNA is filed under the name Drosophila mojavensis. RNAcentral describes it as "GI27070". Lineage: Eukaryota; Metazoa; Arthropoda; Insecta; Diptera; Drosophilidae. The record is from RNAcentral.